UACAGAGGUCCCAAGCGUUGUUCGGAUUUAUUGGGCGUAAAGGGUGCGUAGGCGGUUGCCUAAGUCAGAUGUGAAAUCCCGGGGCUCAACCUCGGAACUGCAUUUGAUACUGGGUGACUUGAGUACUGGAGGGGAGACUGGAAUUUACGGUGUAGCAGUGAAAUGCGUAGAUAUCGUAAGGAAGACCAGUGGCGAAGGCGAGUCUCUGGACAGUUACUGACGCUGAGGCACGAAGGCUAGGGGAGCAAACGGG
RNAcentral lists this ribosomal RNA (253 nucleotides) under uncultured bacterium. RNAcentral describes it as "partial 16S ribosomal RNA". It matches the Rfam family "Bacterial small subunit ribosomal RNA", at positions 524 to 776 of the family's 1533-position model. The record is from RNAcentral.